CUUGCAUGAUGAGAAACAUUUUUUUUUUCAGUUCUGCUUCUGCAAACAUCUUGAAGAAAACAAAAUACCUUACCAAAUCUCCUGAUGC
This 88-nucleotide small nucleolar RNA is filed under the name Aspergillus sydowii CBS 593.65. Lineage: Eukaryota; Fungi; Ascomycota; Eurotiomycetes; Eurotiales; Aspergillaceae. The record is from RNAcentral.